RNAcentral lists this long non-coding RNA (350 nucleotides) under Homo sapiens (human). RNAcentral describes it as "HSALNT0178726". The record is from RNAcentral. Lineage: Eukaryota; Metazoa; Chordata; Mammalia; Primates; Hominidae.
CUAGGGGCUUCAAGGCAAAGAGUCCUUUCUCCGGUGGGGUAAGGUGGGGAAGUCUCCCACUUACUGGAAAACACAGUACUCACUCUGAGCAUUGUCUUUUUUGAAAUUUACCCAGCCACGUGCUGUCCAUUCCCUUACGCAGUGGAAACUCUCCUUGCAUUUACUCCCAAGUAAUCACCUCGGCCUUGUCACAUCCCUUUAGAUUCCAGAUUGAAAAUUGAACAGAGCAUUUCAAAAUUAAAAAGUUUUGAAAAUCCAGGUGGGGAAAAUGGAUCUGACUAAACAGGAGAGAAAUUUCUUCCUCUUCCCCUAUUCUACGUGCUUCUGUGGAUAUAGAAAGGGGCACCCCC